Molecule: ribosomal RNA, 253 nt
Filed under: uncultured bacterium
Lineage: Bacteria
Description: partial 16S ribosomal RNA
Rfam family: Bacterial small subunit ribosomal RNA
Source: RNAcentral
UACGUAGGGUGCGAGCGUUAAUCGGAAUUACUGGGCGUAAAGCGUGCGCAGGCGGUUUUGUAAGUCUGACGUGAAAUCCCCGGGCUUAACCUGGGAAUUGCGUUGGAGACUGCAAGGCUGGAGUCUGGCAGAGGGGGGUAGAAUUCCACGUGUAGCAGUGAAAUGCGUAGAGAUGUGGAGGAACACCGAUGGCGAAGGCAGCCCCCUGGGCUAACACUGACGCUCAUGCACGAAAGCGUGGGGAGCAAACGGG